RNAcentral lists this ribosomal RNA (736 nucleotides) under uncultured bacterium. RNAcentral describes it as "bacterial SSU rRNA". It matches the Rfam family "Bacterial small subunit ribosomal RNA", at positions 94 to 816 of the family's 1533-position model. The record is from RNAcentral.
AGCGGCGGAUGGGUGAGUAACACGUGGGGAACCUGCCCCUAAGUCUGGGAUACCAUUUGGAAACAGGUGCUAAUACCGGAUAAUAAAGCAGAUCGCAUGAUCAGCUUUUGAAAGGCGGCGUAAGCUGUCGCUAAGGGAUGGCCCCGCGGUGCAUUAGCUAGUUGGUAAGGUAACGGCUUACCAAGGCGACGAUGCAUAGCCGAGUUGAGAGACUGAUCGGCCACAUUGGGACUGAGACACGGCCCAAACUCCUACGGGAGGCAGCAGUAGGGAAUCUUCCACAAUGGACGCAAGUCUGAUGGAGCAACGCCGCGUGAGUGAAGAAGGUUUUCGGAUCGUAAAGCUCUGUUGUUGGUGAAGAAGGAUAGAGGUAGUAACUGGCCUUUAUUUGACGGUAAUCAACCAGAAAGUCACGGCUAACUACGUGCCAGCAGCCGCGGUAAUACGUAGGUGGCAAGCGUUGUCCGGAUUUAUUGGGCGUAAAGCGAGCGCAGGCGGAAAAAUAAGUCUAAUGUGAAAGCCCUCGGCUUAACCGAGGAACUGCAUCGGAAACUGUUUUUCUUGAGUGCAGAAGAGGAGAGUGGAACUCCAUGUGUAGCGGUGGAAUGCGUAGAUAUAUGGAAGAACACCAGUGGCGAACGCGGCUCUCUGGUCUGCAACUGACGCUGAGGCUCGAAAGCAUGGGUAGCGAACAGGAUUAGAUACCCUGGUAGUCCAUGCCGUAAACGAUGAGUGC